This 255-nucleotide long non-coding RNA is filed under the name Mytilus galloprovincialis (Mediterranean mussel). The record is from RNAcentral. Lineage: Eukaryota; Metazoa; Mollusca; Bivalvia; Mytilida; Mytilidae.
AAUAUCUUGACUUUAAUAUUCCAAAAGCACUAUGUAAAAAUUUGACUAAGUUAAGAAUUAGUGCACAUUCUCUUUUAAUAGAAAAAGGUCGUUAUCAUAGACCAAAAAUUCCGCAUAACUCAAGACUUUGUCAGACUUGUGAUUUAUUAGAUGAUGAAAAACACUUCAUUUUAUACUGUAAAAAGUUUUCAAUUUUAAGACAAGAUCUCUUCAAAAAAUUAAAUAUCGACCCCUCGGAUUUAAAUAAAAGGGAAA